GGCGUGGAGGGGGGCGCAGGGGGUGUAGGGGGAAGGGAGGGCGCGUGAGGAUGGGGGUGAGGAUGGCGGACCAUGGAGGCGUGUGGCAAGAUGGUACCUGUGAAAGAUGAGCCAGAUGCCACAUGUAAUGGAAAACUCUGAACCUCCAUGGAGAGAAGGAUACGGUGGAAGGAACCCGUCUGCACUCCAGACACAUAGGCUCCUGUUUCAUGGAAUUUUCCUCUUGGAGGAGUAAGCAGUCAUUUCCAACUAUAUCAGAACCAGGACCGCCACACAGUUAACACUUACACCUAUUUGAUUUCUGUUACCAUGUGCUCAGCCCUUGCAGAGCGAAAUGGCAGCUGGACGGUACAUUGUCCAGAAGAGGGGGCCAAAGACUUUCAGAAAUGCCAGGAGCCCUGUCAUAAUUCCAGCCCAUGAAAGGAAGAGGCCUGCCCCAGUGAUACAAGCGUGCUGACUCC
This 461-nucleotide long non-coding RNA is filed under the name Canis lupus familiaris (dog). RNAcentral's name for it is "lncRNA (ENSCAFG00030007232.1)". The record is from RNAcentral. Lineage: Eukaryota; Metazoa; Chordata; Mammalia; Carnivora; Canidae.